RNAcentral lists this long non-coding RNA (122 nucleotides) under Polistes fuscatus (common paper wasp). Its description in RNAcentral is "uncharacterized LOC122525495". The record is from RNAcentral. Lineage: Eukaryota; Metazoa; Arthropoda; Insecta; Hymenoptera; Vespidae.
CUUCGUAUUUGCAAAAAUAAGAGAGAAAUAUUGGAAAAAAGGUAAAAAGCUAAUAAAACUGACAAAGAUUAUUCCUGGCAUAAGAAGAAGAAGAAAACUGAGAAUAAGAAGAUAAGGAAACA